AUUUAUAUAAUUUAAAUAAAAUAUUACAUUUUCAUUGUAAAAAUAGAAUAAUUUCUUAUAAAUA
Molecule: transfer RNA, 64 nt
Filed under: Astenus lyonessius
Lineage: Eukaryota; Metazoa; Arthropoda; Insecta; Coleoptera; Staphylinidae
Description: tRNA-Glu
Source: RNAcentral